AGAUCAAUGGUAAGCAUACUUGUCUGGGGAUUCUAGAAGAUUAUUUCCAGACAUUAAUCAGAGGUUC
RNAcentral lists this small nucleolar RNA (67 nucleotides) under Eschrichtius robustus (grey whale). RNAcentral describes it as "Small nucleolar RNA SNORD109A". It matches the Rfam family "Small nucleolar RNA SNORD109A". From Rfam's summary of the family: Humans have two copies of the SNORD109 gene, SNORD109A and SNORD109B. Lineage: Eukaryota; Metazoa; Chordata; Mammalia; Artiodactyla; Eschrichtiidae. RNAcentral also lists the same sequence under 2 other names. The record is from Rfam by way of RNAcentral.